Malus domestica (apple) is the source of this 87-nucleotide small nucleolar RNA. RefSeq annotates it as small nucleolar RNA Z102/R77. NCBI's taxonomy places the organism in Eukaryota, Viridiplantae, Streptophyta, Magnoliopsida, Rosales, Rosaceae. The record is from RefSeq and is a predicted model, not a curated record.
GAUUGAGAUGAGGCUUAGAUUCGUAUCCCUAUUGGUUUGAAAGCGGCGACAAUGGAAAAUUUAUGUAGUAUCUCUAUCUGAUCAUUC